GCUAUCAGUUCUCACAAGCGGCCAGCUAUUGGCCUGAUCUCAGACACAGAGGAAGCUCCCAGUAGCUUCUUCCAGAGAAAUCACUUCCAUGGGUGUUUCCCACUUCUUUCCCUAAAUGUCAGACCACCACAGUGAUACUAAGCUAAAGAUACCAUUUUCAUUAGAUCCAGCAACAAAUAUUUAAAUUUUUUUGGUGUUGUAAGAUACAGUUGACCUGCGCUGGAAAUAAAAUUCUGCACUAAAGGCAAAAAUCCUCCAGUUACUGUGGCACAUCUGUGUUUGCCCCAGAAGAAGACUCGCAGUCAUAGUGACUAGUCACACUGCACUGCUGCGUGCUGCAUUCUUCACAGAACCUAAACUUGUUACAAAUUAACAGUAGAACAGCAUUUGACCACACUGGUCCAAGAGCUUUUGACACAACUUUGAAACUGAAAGCUGUGACCAUACAAGAACUGACGGAGGUCAGAUUUCUCAAGAUGAGAGAACUGCAGGCAAAGGCAAGUCAGGGCUUGUGUGCACAGGAUGCUUCUUUGGAAGAUAUUAUAUCUCUGAAAUAGAAGAAACGUGUAUGUUCUUCCCUAAAAGAGCAGUGCUUUUAGAGGAAAUCUGCCUGCUAAGGUAUUUCAUAUACUUCUCAGUAUCAUCUUCCUUGGAAAUAUUAUAUAAGGCUCUGCAGACUGACUCCACAGAAACAAGAAAUGAAUCCAGAUCUCACAGACAGAGGCAUCUUUGUAGUUUGAGUCAAGAAGGACGACAGACAUUUCUUCACAAUUAUGUUUUAAAAGUGUCAUACAAGUUCAUAAUCACUUAAAAACAUUUCUACUCAAUAAGACCACUGGAUAUGUUGGAGCAACCUUGCAAUCUUCUCUGGUUCUUGAACUCAACAUUUACUCAACCAAGUAAAAGAAACUUAUACUGCACAUUAAAGUAAUGAAAUAUUGUUUAUUCUAUUAAGUAUUGGAUUGGAGAGCUGAUAUUGGUCCAGCUUCUCAGACAUAUAUUAGCUUCAAUAUUAGUUUCAAUGGAAAUGUGAUACCUGAAUAUCUAAAUAACUUUUACAGUCUGAAUUGCAAAAUAAAAUGAUGAAGAUAAGAUGCA
This is a long non-coding RNA of Parus major (Great Tit), 1098 nucleotides long. Lineage: Eukaryota; Metazoa; Chordata; Aves; Passeriformes; Paridae. The record is from Ensembl.